UUCUUACAGUUGUACAUGGAAACUGAUGAAAAUUGGAACAGCGUUUUCAGAUGCGGAGGACGACAGUAUCGAGAAGAAGACAUAGGCGCGGAAGACAAGAAAAUCAAGAGGGAAAAGUCAGGGCUGUAAGUGUGUUAGUUGCUAUCAUGCAUCAAAUCUAUCAAGUUUGUGUCUCUUUUAGAACAACGAUCCCUACCAUGGUCAGUCAACGUUU
Molecule: long non-coding RNA, 214 nt
Organism: Xenia sp. Carnegie-2017
Lineage: Eukaryota; Metazoa; Cnidaria; Anthozoa; Malacalcyonacea; Xeniidae
Exons: 3
Source: RefSeq, a predicted model, not a curated record